This 495-nucleotide unclassified non-coding RNA is filed under the name Penaeus japonicus. RNAcentral's name for it is "transmembrane protein 267-like, transcript variant X9". The record is from RNAcentral. Lineage: Eukaryota; Metazoa; Arthropoda; Malacostraca; Decapoda; Penaeidae.
UUAACUAUAAAACAAAAUUAUUUUAUUCCUCCAAUGGAGCUCGAUGUUUCAACAAGGAAAUCCUAACCUGGAUAUAAGUUGUGAAUAUAUUGCCUGUUAACCCAGUUGCGUCCCCAAAGAGGUUAAUGAUGGAGGGAGGUUGGAAGAUGCUCCUGGUCUGGGCUGCCCUCCUGGCCUUCACUUGGCCAGCUGAUAGACUUGUUGAGGAGUUCGUCAAGACACUUCCUCCAAAGGAGGAGCCACCAGAGCACCUUGGGGGAGAGGAGUGCUUCACCUGUCCCUGCCGCCCCUUGUAACAAUAGUGCUCCUCUAUACAACAGCCGUGGUAUUUAAGCAACUCUGGUGCUUAAAAUUUGGAACACUCCUAAUAGCUUGUGUUAUAAGUCAUCAGAUACGAGAUGGUAUACAUCAUGGGCUGUGGUUUCAGCCCUUCGGCACAACACCAGUCAUUCCUUACUGGAUUUAUGUUGUUGUAACAUUAGUAUUACCUAUGGC